Molecule: non-coding RNA, 27 nt
Filed under: Cricetulus griseus (Chinese hamster)
Lineage: Eukaryota; Metazoa; Chordata; Mammalia; Rodentia; Cricetidae
Source: RNAcentral
UAUCACUGUCCCUGUGCUCACCUGUGC